This 25-nucleotide non-coding RNA is filed under the name Mus musculus (house mouse). Lineage: Eukaryota; Metazoa; Chordata; Mammalia; Rodentia; Muridae. The record is from RNAcentral.
UGUUGGUUGCCACUUUCUUCAGGAU